GGAGAGGUGGCUGAGUGGUCGAAAGCGGCUGAUUGCUAAUCCGUUGUACACAUAAAAGUGUACCGAGGGUUCGAAUCCCUCCCUCUCCG
Molecule: transfer RNA, 89 nt
Filed under: Chlorokybus atmophyticus
Lineage: Eukaryota; Viridiplantae; Streptophyta; Chlorokybophyceae; Chlorokybales; Chlorokybaceae
Description: tRNA-Ser (GCT) (tRNA-Ser-GCT-2-1)
Rfam family: tRNA
About the family: Transfer RNA (tRNA) molecules are approximately 80 nucleotides in length.
Source: RNAcentral